CACCGCCCAUCGCUCCUACCGAUUGAAUGGUCCGGUGAAGUGUUCGGAUUGCGGCGACAUGGGCGGUUCGCUGCCCGCGACGUGGUGAGAAGUCCAUUGAACCUUAUCAUUUAGAAGAAGGAGAAGUCGUAACAAGGUUUCCGUAGGUGAACCUGCGGAAG
Molecule: ribosomal RNA, 161 nt
Organism: Vigna angularis (adzuki bean)
Lineage: Eukaryota; Viridiplantae; Streptophyta; Magnoliopsida; Fabales; Fabaceae
Rfam family: Eukaryotic small subunit ribosomal RNA
Source: Rfam